GAUGAACGCUGGCGGCGUGCCUAAUACAUGCAAGUCGAGCGAACGGACGAGAAGCUUGCUUCUCUGAUGUUAGCGGCGGACGGGUGAGUAACACGUGGAUAACCUACCUAUAAGACUAGGAUAACUUCGGGAAACCGGAGCUAAUACCGGAUGAUAUUUUGAACCGCAUGGUUCAAAAGUGAAAGACGGUCUUGCUGUCACUUAUAGAUGGAUCCGCGCUGCAUUAGCUAGUUGGUAAGGUAACGGCUUACCAAGGCAACGAUGCAUAGCCGACCUGAGAGGGUGAUCGGCCACACUGGAACUGAGACACGGUCCAGACUCCUACGGGAGGCAGCAGUAGGGAAUCUUCCGCAAUGGGCGAAAGCCUGACGGGGCAACGCCGCGUGAGUGAUGAAGGUCUUCGGAUCGUAAAACUCUGUUAUUAGGGAAGAACAUAUGUGUAAGUAACUGUGCACAUCUUGACGGUACCUAAUCAGAAAGCCACGGCUAACUACGUG
Molecule: ribosomal RNA, 497 nt
Filed under: uncultured bacterium
Lineage: Bacteria
Description: partial 16S ribosomal RNA
Rfam family: Bacterial small subunit ribosomal RNA
Source: RNAcentral